Molecule: ribosomal RNA, 839 nt
Filed under: uncultured deep-sea bacterium
Lineage: Bacteria
Description: bacterial SSU rRNA
Rfam family: Bacterial small subunit ribosomal RNA
Source: RNAcentral
CUAGAGGCUGGGAGAGGCAAGCGGAAUUACCGGUGUAGCAGUGGAAUGCGUUAAUAUCGGUAGGAACACCAAAGGCGAAGGCAGCUUGCUUGAACAGACCUGACGCUCAGGGACGAAAGCGUGGGGAGCGAAUGGGAUUAGAUACCCCAGUAGUCCACGCCGUAAACGAUGGAUACUAAGCAUUGGAAGUAUCGACCCUUUCAGUGUUGAUUAAUUAAGCUAACGCCUUAAGUAUCCCGCCUGGGAAGUACGGCCGCAAGGCUAAAACUCAAAGGAAUUGACGGGAGCCCGCACAAGCGGUGGAGCAUGUGGUUUAAUUCGACAAUAAGCGUAGAACCUUACCAAGGCUUGACUUCCUUAGAAUCCUGCAGAAACGCGGGAGUGCCCGCAAGGGAACUGAGUGACAGGUGCUGCAUGGUUGUCGUCAGCUCGUGUCGUGAGAUGUCAGGUUAAGUCCUUUAACGAGCGCAACCCUCAUCCUAUGUUAAUUUCCAUAGGAAACUGCCCGGGUUCAACCGGGAGGAAGGUGAGGAUGACGUCAAAUCAGCAUGGCCCUUAUGCCUUGGGCAACACACGUGCUACAAUGGUUGGUACAAUGGGUCGCCAAGUCGAGAGACGGAGCUAAUCCCAUCAAAACCAAUCUCAGUUCGGAUUGAGGUCUGCAACUCGACCUCAUGAAGUUGGAAUCGCUAGUAAACGCGGAUCAGCUACGCAGCGUUGAAUACGUUCUCGGGCUUUGUACACACCGCCCGUCAAGUCAAGGGAGUUGGUAAUACCCGAAGGCUGACAAUAGUCGGACGAAGGUAGGACCAGCGACAAGGACUAAGUCGUAACAAGGU